GAGUUUGAUCGUGGCUCAGAUUGAACGCUGGCGGCAUGCCUAACACAUGCAAGUCGAACGGUAACGCGGGGGCAACCCUGGCGACGAGUGGCGGACGGGUGAGUAAUACGUAGGAAUCUGCCCAUUUGUGGGGGAUAACCCGGCGAAAGCCGGGCUAAUACCGCAUACGCUCUACGGAGGAAAGCAGGGGGAUCGUAAGACCUUGCGCUAAUGGAUGAGCCUACGUCGGAUUAGCUAGUUGGUAGGGUAACGGCCUACCAAGGCGACGAUCCGUAGCUGGUCUGAGAGGACGAUCAGCCACACUGGGACUGAGACACGGGCCCAGACUCCUACGGGAGGCAGCAGUGGGGAAUAUUGGACAAUGGGGGCAACCCUGAUCCAGCAAUGCCGCGUGUGUGAAGAAGGCCUGCGGGUUGUAAAGGCACUUUCAGAGGGGAAGAAAAAUCGGAAGCUAACACCUCCGAGCUUGACGUUA
This 475-nucleotide ribosomal RNA is filed under the name uncultured Gammaproteobacteria bacterium. RNAcentral's name for it is "bacterial SSU rRNA". It matches the Rfam family "Bacterial small subunit ribosomal RNA", at positions 9 to 477 of the family's 1533-position model. The record is from RNAcentral. Lineage: Bacteria; Pseudomonadati; Pseudomonadota; Gammaproteobacteria.